GUGGAGCACAUACCAUGAUGCCUAGCAUGCAGUAAUCACACAGUUACUGUCCAAGAAGCAGAAUGCUGUGUCAAAUGAACUAAGAGUUUUUGAUACUACUGCAAAAUUGUACCCAGAAAGAUGGUAUCAGGGAGACAUUAUCAAGAUGGCUGACUCAAGGUACCCAGCACUUAACUCCUCCAUGAGAAAAAGAUGAAAACAACAAAAAGAUAACCACAAGCUGAAUACAAUGUCUAAGAGAGAACAAUGGAAUUCAACAAAGAAGCAACAAAGACCCUCAGAGGCAGAAAAACUUGAAAUGGCAACAUAGAGAGGUAAGUGAAGCAGCCAAAUGGGAUCAGCUCAGAGCCAAGAGGGACUUCCCAUCACAAGGCAAAGGUUAAGUGGGAGAUUCCCCAGUAGUCCACAUUCCCAGAACAUAUAUCCUUAAUCCUGACUACAGGAGAGCCCCUCAUCCCUCACAGGCCCCGAGUCCACUACAGGGAGCUGUGUAGAGUCCAUGCAACUGCAUUGUCCCUGAGAGAGAAUCCACACUGGAUGCUCCACAGCCCCCAGGAACCAGGCUGAUUUAGCACGACACCAUGUUGAGAACAGAACUACUGCCAGACUAAACCUUUCCAUGGGACCCAACAGCUCCUACAUCUACAUAUUCCUGGAGUCCCAAAAACACCCCCACAUAUCCAUCAAGAGGGCUGUAGCACUGUGACACCACCUGGACCCAGGGGUGCAGCUGCAUCCCCAGCACCUGGGCCCACACAGUAGACUACAUCCUGGAAAUGUGGUUCACUACAUCAGGGAGGCUCCCUCUGGACAUAGAGGAAUGAAGUACAUAGUCUCUAGAACCUGAAAACUAUUAGCUUAGAGCCACUACUGCCAAGAGCAACUCUGCCCAACCCCAAUGGUAGGGCUGCCACAUGACCACUACCCAGAGGACUGAGGACCAGUCGACCCAAGGUCUGCCAUUGCCAUCACUGGUGGCUCCACCCCCUCCAAUGGCAGGAGCACCACAUACCCAAGCACAGUCCUCAGAGACCUGAGGACUUCUCUGUCCAGUGUUCUCAUCUCCAGCAAAACCACUCCACAGCCUCAACAGACAAUUGAAGUAUAAGCCCCUGCAGAACUCACAGACACUGCUGACAGUGAUUACAGGUGAAGAAAUCACAGGGAGACUACACUACUGCACCCACGCAGAACCAAAGUCAAAGCACCCUACACAACUGACACUGUAAAUACAUCUACAGGAAACUCUUUCCUUUUGAAACCUACUACAUACAAUUGAAAGAAAUGACUGUUACACCAGAUAUGCAGAUAUCAAC
RNAcentral lists this long non-coding RNA (1316 nucleotides) under Pan troglodytes (chimpanzee). RNAcentral's name for it is "long non-coding RNA NONPTRT004758". The record is from RNAcentral. Lineage: Eukaryota; Metazoa; Chordata; Mammalia; Primates; Hominidae.